CGCGCUGUGCUUCCGCGAAGAACUCAAGGGUAUCUCGGCCGAAAGCCGAAGAUUGGUGUCGCUGUGCGCCCUCGAAGACCAUGGAGUCCUGGAUGGCGAGGAGGUCAACGUAACUAAGGUCAUGGAACUUCUGCGAACAAAGAUUGAUGCAGCAGAGGAUUCAGUAGCAAAAGAGGUCUUAUCUACAGCCCUUUCCAACUUGUCUGAGGAACCCCUAGAAGCUGACCUAUUACAUUUCAUGGAGCUCAAGAAGUCUCUUAUGAACUCCUGC
Non-coding RNA from Penaeus vannamei (Pacific white shrimp), 271 nucleotides. The record is from RefSeq and is a predicted model, not a curated record. Lineage: Eukaryota; Metazoa; Arthropoda; Malacostraca; Decapoda; Penaeidae.